RNAcentral lists this ribosomal RNA (583 nucleotides) under uncultured bacterium. RNAcentral describes it as "partial 16S ribosomal RNA". It matches the Rfam family "Bacterial small subunit ribosomal RNA", at positions 355 to 932 of the family's 1533-position model. The record is from RNAcentral.
UGGGGAAUUUUGGACAAUGGGCGAAAGCCUGAUCCAGCAAUGCCGCGUGUGUGAAGAAGGCCUUCGGGUUGUAAAGCACUUUUGUCCGGAAAGAAAUCCUUGGCUCUAAUACAGUCGGGGGAUGACGGUACCGGAAGAAUAAGCACCGGCUAACUACGUGCCAGCAGCCGCGGUAAUACGUAGGGUGCAAGCGUUAAUCGGAAUUACUGGGCGUAAAGCGUGCGCAGGCGGUUUGCUAAGACCGAUGUGAAAUCCCCGGGCUCAACCUGGGAACUGCAUUGGUGACUGGCAGGCUAGAGUAUGGCAGGAGGGGGGUAGAAUUCCACGUGUAGCAGUGAAAUGCGUAGAGAUGUGGAGGAAUACCGAUGGCGAAGGCAGCCCCCUGGGCCAAUACUGACGCUCAUGCACGAAAGCGUGGGGAGCAAACAGGAUUAGAUACCCUGGUAGUCCACGCCCUAAAGCGUAUGUCAACUAGUUGUUGGGGGACUUCAUUUCCUUAGUAACGUAGCUAACGCUGAAGUUGACCGCCUGGGGAGUACGGUCGCAAGAUUAAAACUCAAAUGAAUUGACGGGGUCAUAGCUG